This 84-nucleotide microRNA precursor is filed under the name Bombyx mori (domestic silkworm). RNAcentral describes it as "mir-2807 microRNA precursor family". It matches the Rfam family "mir-2807 microRNA precursor family". The record is from Rfam by way of RNAcentral. Lineage: Eukaryota; Metazoa; Arthropoda; Insecta; Lepidoptera; Bombycidae.
UUAACUCAAAUUUGUAUGGAGUUGGAACGUUUACCUACGUUUGCCGCUAGGGGCGCUGUUCCAACUGCAUACAAAUUUAAGUUA